This 457-nucleotide ribosomal RNA is filed under the name uncultured Sphingobacteriales bacterium. RNAcentral's name for it is "bacterial SSU rRNA". It matches the Rfam family "Bacterial small subunit ribosomal RNA", at positions 926 to 1382 of the family's 1533-position model. The record is from RNAcentral. Lineage: Bacteria; Pseudomonadati; Bacteroidota; Sphingobacteriia; Sphingobacteriales.
CAAGGCGGAGGAGCAUGUGGUUUAAUUCGAUGAUACGCGAGGAACCUUACCUGGGCUCGAACGUAAGAUGACUGUAGGUGAAAGCUUACAUCUCUUCGGAGCAUUUUACGAGGUGCUGCAUGGUUGUCGUCAGCUCGUGCCGUGAGGUGUCGGGUUAAGUCCCAUAACGAGCGCAACCCCUACCUUUAGUUGCCAUCAGGUAAUGCUGGGGACUCUAAAGGAACUGCCUACGCAAGUAGUGAGGAAGGCGGGGAUGACGUCAAAUCAGCACGGCCCUUACGUCCAGGGCUACACACGUGCUACAAUGGCCGAUACAGAGGGCAGCUACCUGGUGACAGGAUGCAAAUCUCCAAAGUCGGUCUCAGUUCGGAUCGGAGUCUGCAACCCGACUCCGUGAAGUUGGAUUCGCUAGUAAUCGCGCAUCAGCCAUGGCGCGGUGAAUACGUUCCCGGGCCUU